This is a non-coding RNA of Daldinia loculata, 91 nucleotides long. The record is from the annotation of a RefSeq genome assembly. Lineage: Eukaryota; Fungi; Ascomycota; Sordariomycetes; Xylariales; Hypoxylaceae.
GCCCACAUGGCGUAGUGGUUUAACGCCUGGAUGUGUGUUGGUCCGUGCCUACGGGCCGCAACACAAGUGGGUUCGAAUCCCACUGUGGUCA